Molecule: ribosomal RNA, 466 nt
Filed under: uncultured bacterium
Lineage: Bacteria
Description: partial 16S ribosomal RNA
Rfam family: Bacterial small subunit ribosomal RNA
Source: RNAcentral
GAUGAACGCUGGCGGCGUGCUUAACACAUGCAAGUCGAACGAUGAAGCCCAGCUUGCUGGGUGGAUUAGUGGCGAACGGGUGAGUAACACGUGAGUAACCUGCCCUUGACUCUGGGAUAAGCCUGGGAAACUGGGUCUAAUACUGGAUAUGACUUCUCAUCGCAUGGUGGGGGGUGGAAAGAUUUAUUGGUCUUGGAUGGACUCGCGGCCUAUCAGCUUGUUGGUGAGGUACUGGCUCACCAAGGCGACGACGGGUAGCCGGCCUGAGAGGGUGACCGGCCACACUGGGACUGAGACACGGCCCAGACUCCUACGGGAGGCAGCAGUGGGGAAUAUUGCACAAUGGGCGCAAGCCUGAUGCAGCGACGCCGCGUGAGGGAUGACGGCCUUCGGGUUGUAAACCUCUUUCAGUAGGGAAGAAGCGAGAGUGACGGUACCUGCAGAAGAAGCGCCGGCUAACUACGUG